GACGAACGCUGGCGGCGUGCCUAAUACAUGCAAGUAGAACGCUGAAGGAGGAGCUUGCUUCUCUGGAUGAGUUGCGAACGGGUGAGUAACGCGUAGGUAACCUGCCUGGUAGCGGAGGAUAACUAUUGGAAACGAUAGCUAAUACCGCAUAAGAGUGGAUGUUGCAUGACAUUUGCUUAAAAGGUGCACUUGCAUCACUACCAGAUGGACCUGCGUUGUAUUAGCUAGUUGGUGGGGUAAGGGCUCACCAAGGCGACGAUACAUAGCCGACCUGAGAGGGUGAUCGGCCACACUGGGACUGAGACACGGCCCAGACUCCUACGGGAGGCAGCAGUAGGGAAUCUUCGGCAAUGGACGGAAGUCUGACCGAGCAACGCCGCGUGAGUGAAGAAGGUUUUCGGAUCGUAAAGCUCUGUUGUAAGAGAAGAACGAGUGUGAGAGUGGAAAGUUCACACUGUGACGGUAUCUUACCAGAAAGGGACGGCUAACUACGUGCCAGCAGCCGCGGUAAUACGUAGGUCCCGAGCGUUGUCCGGAUUUAUUGGGCGUAAAGCGAGCGCAGGCGGUUAGAUAAGUCUGAAGUUAAAGGCUGUGGCUUAACCAUAGUAGGCUUUGGAAACUGUUUAACUUGAGUGCAAGAGGGGAGAGUGGAAUUCCAUGUGUAGCGGUGAAAUGCGUAGAUAUAUGGAGGAACACCGGUGGCGAAAGCGGCUCUCUGGCUUGUAACUGACGCUGAGGCUCGAAAGCGUGGGGAGCAAACAGG
Molecule: ribosomal RNA, 763 nt
Filed under: uncultured Streptococcus sp.
Lineage: Bacteria; Bacillati; Bacillota; Bacilli; Lactobacillales; Streptococcaceae
Description: bacterial SSU rRNA
Rfam family: Bacterial small subunit ribosomal RNA
Source: RNAcentral